CCUCUCACAGGCCUACAAAGGCCCAUGCAUUCAAAUUUCAAUUUCCAUGCACAUGACCCAAGUGUGAUAAUCUGAAACCUUCAGCUAUAAAUAGAGGCUUCAUGAGCUUCAUUUCACAACCUUUUGGAGAUCCCUUAUGCUGCUGCACUGAAACCAUAAUCCUCACCAAAGGAAUCACUCAUAAUUUUUUUCAGAUUUUCGAGCUUGAAAUUCAGCAACA
RNAcentral lists this long non-coding RNA (220 nucleotides) under Lathyrus oleraceus (garden pea). Its description in RNAcentral is "Pisum sativum (pea) long non-coding RNA (PSAT_LNC009750)". Lineage: Eukaryota; Viridiplantae; Streptophyta; Magnoliopsida; Fabales; Fabaceae. The record is from RNAcentral.